AGGGAAUCUUCCACAAUGGACGAAAGUCUGAUGGAGCAACGCCGCGUGAGUGAUGAAGGGUUUCGGCUCGUAAAACUCUGUUGUUGGAGAAGAACAGGUGUGAGAGUAACUGUUCACAUCUUGACGAUAUCCAACCAGAAAGCCACGGCUAACUACGUGCCAGCAGCCGCGGUAAUACGUAGGUGGCAAGCGUUGUCCGGAUUUAUUGGGCGUAAAGCGAGCGCAGGCGGUUUCUUAGGUCUGAUGUGAAAGCCUUCGGCUUAACCGGAGAAGUGCAUCGGAAACCAGGAGACUUGAGUGCAGAAGAGGACAGUGGAACUCCAUGUGUAGCGGUGAAAUGCGUAGAUAUAUGGAAGAACACCAGUGGCGAAGGCGGCUGUCUGGUCUGUAACUGACGCUGAGGCUCGAAAGCAUGGGUAGCGAAC
RNAcentral lists this ribosomal RNA (425 nucleotides) under uncultured bacterium. RNAcentral's name for it is "bacterial SSU rRNA". It matches the Rfam family "Bacterial small subunit ribosomal RNA", at positions 356 to 773 of the family's 1533-position model. The record is from RNAcentral.